AAAAAGAAUACAUCAAAAGAGAUCAAGAAAACAAGACACAUCUCUUAUAAACUAUCCAGCAGAAACACUCAGUUUGCUGUUCGGAACACAGAUUUCCUGAGAGUUCCAGUGUUCUUUGAGAAACAAUGGCGUUGUGGACUGUCUACCUGUCUCUCUGUCUUCUAGUAGCUUUGAAUGCUUCAGUGGAAUCACGUCCUGUUGAAAAUAAAAAUACAAUUUGUGGCGUCUGUAAGGCAGGAUGGUCUGCCUUUGGAUGCAGAUGCUACAAGUUUUUCAAUUACCAAUACAUAUGGACUAAUGCUGAGUAUAUGUGUUUGUACUAUAAUGGGAACCUUGCUUCUGUACACAGCCAUGAGGAGUACAUGUUUAUACAGAAGCUGGUUAGACAGACAACUCAUGCAUCAACACCUACCUGGAUCGGAGGCCAUGAUGCUAUUCGUUGGGGAAAUUGGUUCUGGAGUGAUGGAUCCAGUUUUGGCUAUCAACUAUGGUCGCCUGGACAACCCAGUUACAGUACAAAUGAGGACUGCAUUGAGAUGAACUCUGUCAAUGGCAACUGGAAUGAUGUGAACUGUUAUGAAAAUAAGCCCUUUGUGUGUGCGUACUGAACCAGCAUGUGAAAAAUCAGUGUAGAAGAAACAAGCUACUUUGACUCAUUUACUUUCCAUUAGAAAUGUUUAAUGGAGGCUAAUAAAUGAAUGAAUUAUG
This is a long non-coding RNA of Ctenopharyngodon idella (grass carp), 708 nucleotides long. RefSeq lists it as uncharacterized. NCBI's taxonomy places the organism in Eukaryota, Metazoa, Chordata, Actinopteri, Cypriniformes, Xenocyprididae. The transcript is spliced from 7 exons. The record is from RefSeq and is a predicted model, not a curated record.